This 253-nucleotide ribosomal RNA is filed under the name uncultured bacterium. RNAcentral's name for it is "partial 16S ribosomal RNA". It matches the Rfam family "Bacterial small subunit ribosomal RNA", at positions 524 to 776 of the family's 1533-position model. The record is from RNAcentral.
UACAGAGGUCUCGAGCGUUAGGCGGAAUCACUGGGCUUAAAUCGUGUGUAGGCGGAUCGUUAAGUGCCUUGUGAAAUCCCACGGCUCAACCGUGGAACUGCUUGGCAUACUGGCGGUCUUGAGCAACCUAGGGGCGAGCGGAACAAAUGGUGGAGCGGUGAAAUGCGUAGAUAUCAUUUGGAACGCCAAUGGUGAAAACAGCUCGCUGGGGGUUUGCUGACGCUGAGACACGAAAGCCAGGGGAGCAAACGGG